AAUAAAUCUGGGAGGGUAUGAAAACACAGAGUGGCCGUGGAGGCGUUUCCAGUGUGGCUAUGGAGACACACAGCUCCCAUUCAUCACGACUGUUUGCAUCUGUCUAGCCUGACCUGUUGGCAGAAUGCGGCUGUUGCAUUUCUUGUCCUGCGCUGUUAAACUCGGUGCUACGCCAUGUGAUCUUGCUGAUGUCUGACGGCACUCCUGGAUCAGCAGCUCUUGCUACAUUGUUCUGCAAGUACAAAACUUCAACUAAUGGGCAUUAGGAACUCAUGGACAGACUCCACCUCACACGCUUUUGGCAGAGAAGGUGCUUAAGAAUCAUGCUGACCCUGUGGUGGGCCUUCAUAGAACUUCGAGGAGCUGGUGUGACUUGGAUGGCAGCUGUUCUGGUGCUGCUCUGCUGUAUGAGAAAUCCUGUCUUGUGAGAAGGAGAUGUCAGAGCUGCCUUUGGCACGAAGCUGCUGGGUGUCCAGGGUUGAAGAAAGCGUGUACUCGUGUUCCCCAGAAGCUGUCUCACUGCUCACAACACACUCACUGAGUCCUGGCUGGGAGAUGCCUAUGACAGUUGGCCUUAAGGGAGGAAGGGGCAGUGGAGGACCCUCUUACCAAUAAAGCUGGU
Molecule: long non-coding RNA, 622 nt
Organism: Tympanuchus pallidicinctus (lesser prairie-chicken)
Lineage: Eukaryota; Metazoa; Chordata; Aves; Galliformes; Phasianidae
Exons: 5
Source: RefSeq, a predicted model, not a curated record